AGAUCUCUCUCUCUGCGGAAGCCAGCCACCGCUCUCCAAGGACUCUCGAGCAGCUCCAUCUACAGAUUCACAUGGAGAAGAAUUAAGGGUUCCUGCCAAUCACCAGCACCACUUUGCCAGCCUUGUAAGUGGGCCACCUUGGAAUUGGAGCCUCCAGUUCCUACUGACAUCUGACUGCAACAUCAUGAGAGACCCUGAGUUUGAACCACCCAGCUGAGCUGCUUCUGAGCUAACCCACUGAAACCACAGUUGGCAUCUGUGUGAAGAUGUGAAUGGAGGAGGCAGAGUAGGCAGUGAGUGCCGCAGCCACAGCUUGUGUUCUCUGCAGCCCUGGCACAGAAGAUAGGAACACUCAUGGGGGAUGCGGCCACUGUGAUGUCUUCCCACACAAGAAGUGCCAAGUGCUUUUCUCAUGCUUUUCUGGAUUGUCCCAUGGUGGACGAGUCAGCAGGAGUGAGAUGGAGCAGCACAGUAGAGGGGCCAGGAUAUCGUUGUACAUAUUCUCAGCUAAGUGAGCACCAAUAGAGGAGAGGGAGAGUCUCAUGGAAGUUCCUUCUAAGCCUUUGGCUCUUUUUACCUUCAACAAGGUUCCUUAGAUCCUGGGAUGAGGAGGUGGACCAGCAGAAGGUGGGCUUGUGAAGGCAGCCCGGGGUCCAAAUCCUCCUGGCUCUUCAGCUUAGCGGGUUAGUUAACAUUCAGAAGCCUUCAUCUCCCAUCUGCAAAAUGGGCAUGUCCAACUCAGAAGCUGCCUUGAAGAAAGGGUCUACCCAGCAUGGUGCGUGGAGCCUAAGCAGUCAGUACUUCAGGACUUCACCCGGCCCCUUUCCAAUAACUGCUGCUGUCGCCCUCACAGGAUGUCACCUUCAGCGUCUGAAAGCUGGGUUUGAUGCGUCUGGAAAGGCGUCCCUGACAGGCGUCGUUGCCAGGAGCCCCUAGUGCCACCAGCAGCCAGCAGGGGAGGGCGUCCUCUGCCCGCUCACUUCUGACCCUUCUCUCGUUGCACCCGGAACAUGGUGCAGCUGGGAGCAGCCUGGGCUGCGCGGAAGGCUCAGAUUUGGGGACGGCCCUUGCCAGUGACUGUGAGCUGGGGUGUCUUGGAAACUCCCAGUCUCAGCUUCUCCAUUUAUAAGAUGAGAAUGAUCAUACCAGACUCAGGCAAGGUUGUUUGUGCAUUAGUGAAAUCAGACGUAUUAAAUAAAGUACCACAUUGAUCGUGGAGUUGUUGAAUAACCAAGAA
RNAcentral lists this long non-coding RNA (1237 nucleotides) under Homo sapiens (human). Its description in RNAcentral is "long intergenic non-protein coding RNA 658". The record is from RNAcentral. Lineage: Eukaryota; Metazoa; Chordata; Mammalia; Primates; Hominidae.